UGCUGGAGGUAUCAGAAGUGCGAAUGCUGACAUGAGUAACGUUAAUGCGGGUGAAAAACCCGCACGCCGAAAACCCAAGGUUUCCUGCUCAACGUUAAUCGGAGCAGGGUGAGCCGGUUCCUAAGACGAGGCCGAAAGGCGUAGCCGAUGGAAAACAGGUCAACAUUCCUGUGCCCGGUGUGAUUGCGAUGGGGUGACGGAGAAGGCUAGUUCAGCAGGGGUUGGUUCCCUGUUUAAGCAUGUAGGAGGAGUUGCCAGGCAAAUCCGGCAGCUCUUAACUCCGAGGUGUGAUGACGAGGCUCCACGCGAGCCGAAGUGAAUAACGCCCCGCUUCCAGGAAAAGCCUCUAAGCUUCAGAUCACAUUGGACCGUACCGUAAACCGACACUGGUGGGUGAGCAGAUAAUCUGCCAAGGCGCUUGAGAGAACUCGGGUUAAGGAACUCUGCAAAUUGAUACCGUAACUUCGGAAGAAGGUAUGCCUUCGACGGUGUAGGGAUUUACUCCCGAAGCUGUUGAAGGUCGCAGGUAAUCGGUGGCUGCGACUGUUUAUCAAAAACACAGGACUCUGCGAACACGCAAGUGGAAGUAUAGGGUCUGACGCCUGCCCGGUGCCGGAAGGUUAAUUGAUGGGGUUAGCCGCAAGGCGAAGCUCUUGAUCGAAGCCCCGGUAAACGGCGGCCGUAACUAUAACGGUCCUAAGGUAGCAAAUUCCUUGUCGGGUAAGUUCCGACCUGCACGAAUGGCGUAACGCUGGCCACACUGUCUCGACCCGAGACUCAGUGAAGUUGAAAUCGCUGUGAAGAUGCGGCGUUCCCGCGGCAAGACGGAAAGACCCCGUGAACCUUCACUACAGCUUUACACUGAACUUUGAACCUUUCUGUGUAGCAUAGGUGGGAGGCUAUGAAACUUGGGCGCUAGCUCGAGUGGAGCCAACCUUGAAAUACCACCCUGGGAUGUUUGAAGUUCUAACCUUGGUCCGUAAUCCGGAUUGGGGACAGUGUAUGGUGGGUAGUUUGACUGGGGCGGUCUCCUCCCAAAGAGUAACGGAGGAGUGCAAUGGUACGCUCAGCGCGGUCGGUCAUCGCGCUCUAGAGUGCAAAGGCAUAAGCGUGCUUAACUGUGAGACAGACACGUCGAACAGGUACGAAAGUAGGUCUUAGUGAUCCGGUGGUUCUGUAUGGAAGGGCCAUCGCUCAACGGAUAAAAGGUACUCCGGGAUAACAGGCUUAUUCCUCCCAAGAGUCCACAUCGACGGAGGAGUUUGGCACCUCGAUGUCGGCUCAUCACAUCCUGGGGCUGUAGCAGGUCCCAAGGGUAUGGCUGUUCGCCAUUUAAAGUGGUACGCGAGCUGGGUUCAGAACGUCGUGAGACAGUUCGGUCCCUAUCUGCCGUGAGCGUUGGAAACUUGAGGGUGAGCUGUCCUUAGUACGAGAGGACCGGGAUGGACGUAUCUCUGGUGUUCCGGUUGUCACGCCAGUGGCACUGCCGGGUAGCUAUAUACGGACGGGAUAAGCGCUGAAAGCAUCUAAGCGCGAAGCCCCCCCCAAGAUUAGGUUUCCCUGGGAACUCGAUUCCCCUAAAGGGCCGUCGGAGACUACGACGUUGAUAGGCUGGGUGUGUAAGUGCAGCAAUGCAUUGAGCUAACCAGUACUAAUUGCCCGUGAGGCUUGACC
RNAcentral lists this ribosomal RNA (1674 nucleotides) under metagenome. RNAcentral's name for it is "bacterial LSU rRNA". It matches the Rfam family "Bacterial large subunit ribosomal RNA", at positions 1271 to 2925 of the family's 2925-position model. The record is from RNAcentral.